Molecule: long non-coding RNA, 345 nt
Organism: Balaenoptera ricei (Rice's whale)
Lineage: Eukaryota; Metazoa; Chordata; Mammalia; Artiodactyla; Balaenopteridae
Exons: 3
Source: RefSeq, a predicted model, not a curated record
GGCUCCUUCUGUCAGAGGGAGGGGGCGUGGUAGCAAGCAGAGUCCUUUAGGGUCUCUCCUCGUGCGAUGUCUCACUUGAUCAUCACAGAUGAACCUGUGAGGUGAGGCAGGGUAGUCUCAUUUACAGAGAAAGAACUGGGGAUCAGAAAUAUGAAGUUGUUUGUUCAAGAUCUUACAUCCAGAUGACAUCAAAUCCACGUGUUUCCUCACCUGCCUCUUGAGCUGGAAGCAGUGUUAAAUGCUUUCCAUUUUUCUUCUCAACUCGGUUAUACUAAUUUUUACCCUCCUCUGGUUUGGAGCCAGACCUCUGGUGUCAUUCACAGCUGUUUCCACUACAGACUGCCC